AACCACAUAACCGGAGAAGACCUUCAAGCAUUGGAGGCAACCUUCAACACUCUCUUCCUCGGUUUCUCCCUUCAUCAAGAAGCUGGAAGUCGGCCCUUUCGCACUUGGAAACUCACCUCUUUAAGCUCUCCAUUUUCUCCCCUUCGUAUACAAGUGUAACCUUGCAAAGGACAAGUUCCCAAGCCUCAAGGAGAACAAAUUAAUUUGGAGGUUUAUUUGGUUAAGUACCUCAAGGAAUGUGGAAGGAAAAGCGUAGAAAAAGGGGAUAAAUGAAUCUAUAACUUAUGUAAUGGCUGUAUUUUAUUGUUUGUGGUAUU
Gastrolobium bilobum is the source of this 317-nucleotide long non-coding RNA. RefSeq lists it as uncharacterized. The record is from RefSeq and is a predicted model, not a curated record. Lineage: Eukaryota; Viridiplantae; Streptophyta; Magnoliopsida; Fabales; Fabaceae. The transcript is spliced from 3 exons.